AGAUCCAAUAGCGUAUAUCAAAUUUGUUGCAAUUAAAAAGCUCGUAGUUGAAUUUCUGGUUGGAAGGAUCGGUCCAGCACUCUGUGUGGGAUCUUGUCUCCUCUCCGGCCAUCCUUGGGUGAAUCUUGUCUGGAAUUAAGUUGUCAGUCAGGGGAUGCCCAUCAUUUACUGUGAAAAAUAUGCCAUUGAAUAUAUUAGCAUGGAAUGAUAAGAUAGGGCCCCGGUACUAUUUUGUUGGCUUGCGUACCGAGGUAACGAUUGAUAGGGACAGUUGGGGGUAUUUGUAUUCAGUAUUCAGUGGUGAAAUACUUAGACCUAUGGAAGAUAAACUACUGCGAAAAACAUUUACCAAGGAUGUUUUCA
RNAcentral lists this ribosomal RNA (363 nucleotides) under uncultured eukaryote. RNAcentral's name for it is "SSU rRNA". It matches the Rfam family "Eukaryotic small subunit ribosomal RNA", at positions 587 to 972 of the family's 1831-position model. The record is from RNAcentral.